UGUCGAAAGCUUUCGAAAAAUCUAUGAAUAAAAUUGCUCCUUCUAUAUUAAACUUAUCUGCGUAAUCUAUUACAUCUUGUAUUUGGCGUAAGUUAAAACCUAUAAAUCUGUUCUUUAUGUAUCCUGUUUGAUCAGCAUUAAUGAUUAAAUUUAAGAUUUUUUUUAUUCUUAAAGCUAGAGUGUAUGAGAGUAUUUUGUAAUCACUAUUCAAUAAUGAUAUUGGUCUAUAAUUUGCCAGUUCUAAAGGAUCAUUUUUUUUAUAAAUUAGAUUCAGUAAACUUUGUCUUUGCGUAAAUGGAAGAUGUUUAUUUUCAAAGCUAAAAUUAAAAAUUUCUACAAGCAGCGGUCCAAGAAGUUCCCAAAACUUUUUAUAAAAGUUUAUGCUUAUUCCGUCCAUUCCCGGACUUUUGUUUAUCUUUAGAUUAUUGACUGCAAUGGUUAAUUCUUCUAACGUUACGUUUCCGUCACAAGACUUACUUUCUUCUUCUGACAGUUUAUAAUUAUGUUUUGUUUUAGAAAUGUAUUUUUUAACAUCUAUAUCCGGUUUUUGUUUAGUGUCGUAUAGAUUAGCAUAAAAAUUUCUUUCAAGAUUUAAUAUUUCAUCUUGAUCUGUUACUAUUACCCCCUUAUUGUUUCUCAGUUUCAGUAUUGUCUUUUUCGUUUGUUUAGAUUUUUCAAGACCUAGAAAAUAUGCAUUAUUUUUUUCUCCUUUUUCUACCCACUCUUGUUUUGAUCUUAUUUGAGCUCCUUUUGCUUUGUAUUCAUAUUGAUUUUCUAGCUCUUUCUCUAAAGUGGAUAUUUUUUCUUUUAUAAAAUUAUUAUCUUCAUUAUUAGAUUUUUCAUAUAAUAUUUUUAAUUGUAGUUCUAAAUUACGCGUUACAUUUUUU
This 887-nucleotide long non-coding RNA is filed under the name Mytilus galloprovincialis (Mediterranean mussel). The record is from RNAcentral. Lineage: Eukaryota; Metazoa; Mollusca; Bivalvia; Mytilida; Mytilidae.